AUACGGAGGGUCCAAGCGUUAUCCGGAAUCAUUGGGUUUAAAGGGUCCGCAGGCGGUCAAUUAAGUCAGAGGUGCAAGCCCAUCGCUCAACGAUGGAACUGCCUUUGAUACUGGUUGACUUGAGUUAUACGGAAGUAGAUAGAAUAAGUAGUGUAGCGGUGAAAUGCAUAGAUAUUACUUAGAAUACCGAUUGCGAAGGCAGUCUACUACGUAUAUACUGACGCUGAGGGACGAAAGCGUGGGGAGCGAACAGGAUUAGAAACCCUAGUAGUCC
Molecule: ribosomal RNA, 274 nt
Filed under: uncultured bacterium
Lineage: Bacteria
Description: partial 16S ribosomal RNA
Rfam family: Bacterial small subunit ribosomal RNA
Source: RNAcentral